GCUUUCCCUGGGGAAGAGAUCACAGAUGUGAUGGUAGCCAGCCACAAAGAAGAAAGUUCAAGGGAGCUCUCUCCCUUCCAGGCAGAUACACAGCCUGCUCAUGUGCUGCUCAACAUCUUGGCCAGGCCACCUUCUCCCUUGGUUCCCAAAAAAACUGUGCUUCUCUAUUUAGCAAAAGGUUACAUCCGCAGUAGAUGAUGAAGUUAGCAGUAAGUCAAAUGUGUCCAAGAUCAUUCUGUAGUGCAGAGGACAAAUGGUACAACAACCAGUGUCCAGGCUGCUAAAUACACUUGCCUGUCAGGAAGGAGUUGCCAUAGUCCUUGAACCAUGCUCAGUGCUAGUCAGCCUGGGUCAAUAGAAUACAUAUUUUCUGGUUUUAACAAUCUAAUAUUAUAGACAAGUGAAUUCCAGGCAUGCAGGCAUUUAUUUGCAUUGCCAAAAUUCUAGUAGAUCUGGGAUGGGGAAAAGCAGGUACCAGAGACUUCUAGACCAUGAGGCUUACAGGCAUUCUGGGAGAACCUGAAGCAGAUUUCUGGCAGAAUGCUGGCAGCUAUGAAGCUUGUGGUGAAGCAUGGAGAAGUAUGGCAGCCGGGUUUCCAGCAGUUAUAAAAUGCUUGGGUGUUCCACAAAAGAAAUAGCAGGACUGUCUUGUCACUGCUAUUAAAAAAAUUCUACUACAGAAAAAGAUCUCAGUGCAAUUCACAGGUGAAGAGAAGUUUUCCAUAGAAAACAAAGAAUGCUGUUCGCGGUGAAGCUGGAUUUUUGACCAAAUAUUUCAUACUUCCACUUCUUAAAACACACAUCUCAAUAUCUACUGUAUAGGAAACACAUCAAUGAUGCAUAUUGCAAACAUACUUUCAUACCACGAGCAACAAUGUCUAAAGCUUGCUGGCCUUAAUCAAACAGUACUCUUCAAUAGAAAAUGCAUGAAUGUGCUGCUUCACUCUCCCCAGUUUGUGUCUUUCUUUCUGAUUUAACAUUUCACUGCAUGAAAGAAAUAUUUCAGGAUGCACUGAACCUCAGAAAAAAUAUUUUGUUUGAUCUAACAAUUCUGUUCUUGUGUGUCAGAAAACAAACAAACAAACCUUUAAAUAAACAUCUGCAGUG
RNAcentral lists this long non-coding RNA (1107 nucleotides) under Gallus gallus (chicken). Its description in RNAcentral is "lncRNA (ENSGALG00000047920.1)". Lineage: Eukaryota; Metazoa; Chordata; Aves; Galliformes; Phasianidae. The record is from RNAcentral.